Carya illinoinensis is the source of this 1060-nucleotide long non-coding RNA. RefSeq lists it as uncharacterized. The record is from RefSeq and is a predicted model, not a curated record. Lineage: Eukaryota; Viridiplantae; Streptophyta; Magnoliopsida; Fagales; Juglandaceae. The transcript has 2 exons.
UUACCGUCUCAUCUCUCUCCCUCUCUCUCUCUCUCUCUCCUUGUCUUCCUUCCUCUAAUGCUCUCUUUCUCACAGAUCCCUUGUGCACAGCCACCGUGAGCCAUCAACAUCGCCAGUCAGAACCUCGCCAUUGCCACCACCUUCUUCCUCUCCUCCACACGCCGACACAGCUCCCUCUUCCUCCCUCGCAUGCUCUCUGUCUCACAGAUCCUCUGUCCACAGCCAUCACAUUUGCCGUCAUGAGCCACCAUCGUCGCGUCCAGCCACGAUCUCACACCACCACGAGCAUCCACUGAGCCCUUCCUCCCCCAGCUCAAAGCUCCUCCCUCUUCCUUCGCACGAACACCCUUUCUCUCUACACAAUUUACCCACCUCGCGGCUCAGAUCCACUGCCUAUGGUCGCGCGUCGCAACCCACAACCAUGCCAGACCUCCACGCCGAGCUUGCUCUCUCCCUCACAUGCCCUCUCCCUUUUUUUUUUUUUGUCUAUCAAUGGCAUCUGAAGAGCAAAGAACAAGAAGCAUAUCAGAAAUGUCGAGAUUCAAGAGGUGGACUAAUUCGAAAGACACCGAGAUUUUUCUGGAAAGUGAAAAUAGAGAAGAGCAGAUUGGAGGAAAAUAUUAAACAGAUUUGAGUUGGUUUCAGACUGUCGAUUGAACAUCUUAAGUUUUAAAUUUGAGUCAGACGAAGUAAUAAGAUCUAAAUGUAAAAAGACAACAACUUUUAGGCGGUGAAGCAAAACGACAGCAAGCACAACGGACUAAACAAGAGAACUAAGGGGCAAAAUUGGAAACAAAGCAUGAAAAAAAUCAGGCAGUCAGAAUGGAAAAAGACCAAAAUGUCUGUUGGCAAAGAAAAAGUAAAGUUAAAACCAUAGUAAUUUUCAAAUAAAAUUAAGGAUAAAAUGGGAAAAAAAGAAUUAGACGAAAAUACUGUUAAAAGCCGAUUCGCACUUUAUAUAUAAGUAUAGAUAUAGAUAUAGAUAUAUAUAGAUCAGUUUUAUUUCAUUUUAUUUCCUAUAUAUGUUGUUACCUUAGAUUCUGCUCUACUACCAAAAUUA